GCGAACGCUGGCGGCAGGCCUAACCCCUGCAAGUCGAACGGAUCCUUCGGGAUUAGUGGCGGACGGGUGAGUCACACGUGGGAACGUGCCCUUUGGUUCGGAACAACUCAGGGAAACUUGAGCUAAUACCGGAUGUGCCCUUCGGGGGAAAGAUUUAUCGCCAUUGGAGCGGCCCGCGUCUGAUUAGCUAGUUGGUGAGGUAACGGCCCACCAAGGCGACGAUCAGUAGCUGGGCUGAGAGGAUGAUCAGCCACACUGGGACUGAGACACGGCCCAGACUCCUACGGGAGGCAGCAGUGGGGGAUCUUGCGCAAUGGGCGAAAGCCUGACGCAGCCAUGCCGCGUGAAUGAUGAAGGUCUUAGGAUUGUAAAAUUCUUUCAGCGGGGACGAUAAUGACGGUACCCGCAGAAGAAGCUCCGGCUAACUUCGUG
This 432-nucleotide ribosomal RNA is filed under the name uncultured bacterium. RNAcentral describes it as "partial 16S ribosomal RNA". It matches the Rfam family "Bacterial small subunit ribosomal RNA", at positions 29 to 507 of the family's 1533-position model. The record is from RNAcentral.